This 451-nucleotide ribosomal RNA is filed under the name uncultured bacterium. RNAcentral describes it as "SSU rRNA". It matches the Rfam family "Bacterial small subunit ribosomal RNA", at positions 26 to 518 of the family's 1533-position model. The record is from RNAcentral.
AGGAUAAACGCUGGCGGCGUGCCUAACACAUGCAAGUCGAACGUCCUACGCAAGUAGGGAGUGGCGGACGGGUGAGUAACACGUGGGCAAUCUACCUUUCGGUGAGGAAUACCGGCGAGAAAUCGCCGACAAUACCGCAUACGCUUCGCAAGAAGCAAAGUCGCAAGACGCCGGAGGAGGGGCCUGCGCCCGAUUAGCUGGUUGGUGGAGUAAUGGUCUACCAAGGCGACGAUCGGUAGCUGGUCUGAGAGGAUGAUCAGCCACACUGGGAUUGAGAACGGCCCAGACUCCUACGGGGGGCAGCAGUGAGGAAUUUUGCGCAAUGGGGGAAACCCUGACGCAGCAACGCCGCGUGGAGGAUGAAGUCCCUUGGGACGUAAACUCCUUUCGAUCGGGACGAUUAUGACGGUACCGGAAGAAGAAGCCCGGCUAACUUCGUGCCAGCAGCCGC